RNAcentral lists this ribosomal RNA (234 nucleotides) under uncultured bacterium. Its description in RNAcentral is "partial 16S ribosomal RNA". It matches the Rfam family "Bacterial small subunit ribosomal RNA", at positions 524 to 757 of the family's 1533-position model. The record is from RNAcentral.
UACGUAGGGGGCAAGCGUUGUCCGGAUUCAUUGGGCGUAAAGAGCGUGUAGGCGGCCAGGUAGGUCGGUUGUGAAAACUGGAGGCUCAACCUUCAGAGGUCGACCGAAACCAUCUGGCUAGAGUCCGGGAGAGGAGAGUGGAAUUCCUGGUGUAGCGGUGAAAUGCGCAGAUAUCAGGAAGAACACCCGUGGCGAAAGCGGCUCUCUGGAACGGUACUGACGCUGAGACACGAA